CUGCAGCUCAAGUGGUGACCGCUAUUAUUGGGCCUAAAACGUUCGUAGCCGGCUGAGUAAAUGCUUGGGUAAAUCGUGCCGCUUAACGGUACGAAUUCCGGGUAGACUACUCAGCUUGAGACCGGGAGAAGCUAGAGGUACUCCUGGGGUAGAGGUGAAAUUCUGUAAUCCUGGGGGGACCACCAGUGGCGAAGGCGUCUAGCUAGAACGGGUCUGACGGUGAGGAACGAAGCCCUGGGGCGCAAACCGGAUUAGAGACCCGUGUAGUCC
RNAcentral lists this ribosomal RNA (270 nucleotides) under uncultured archaeon. RNAcentral describes it as "partial 16S ribosomal RNA". It matches the Rfam family "Archaeal small subunit ribosomal RNA", at positions 477 to 747 of the family's 1478-position model. The record is from RNAcentral.